AGUGAACGCUGGCGGUAGGCCUAACACAUGCAAGUCGAACGGCAGCACAGUAAGAGCUUGCUCUUACGGGUGGCGAGUGGCGGACGGGUGAGGAAUACAUCGGAAUCUACUUUUUCGUGGGGGAUAACGUAGGGAAACUUACGCUAAUACCGCAUACGACCUACGGGUGAAAGCAGGGGAUCUUCGGACCUUGCGCGAUUGAAUGAGCCGAUGUCGGAUUAGCUAGUUGGCGGGGUAAAGGCCCACCAAGGCGACGAUCCGUAGCUGGUCUGAGAGGAUGAUCAGCCACACUGGAACUGAGACACGGUCCAGACUCCUACGGGAGGCAGCAGUGGGGAAUAUUGGACAAUGGGCGCAAGCCUGAUCCAGCCAUACCGCGUGAGUGAAGAAGGCCUUCGGGUUGUAAAGCCCUUUUGUUUGGAAAGAAAAGCAGCAGGUUAAUACCCCGCUGUUCUGACGGUACCCACAGAAUAAGCACCGGCUAACUUCGUG
RNAcentral lists this ribosomal RNA (492 nucleotides) under uncultured bacterium. RNAcentral's name for it is "partial 16S ribosomal RNA". It matches the Rfam family "Bacterial small subunit ribosomal RNA", at positions 29 to 507 of the family's 1533-position model. The record is from RNAcentral.